Pogoniulus pusillus (Red-fronted tinkerbird) is the source of this 751-nucleotide long non-coding RNA. RefSeq lists it as uncharacterized. The record is from RefSeq and is a predicted model, not a curated record. The transcript is spliced from 2 exons. NCBI's taxonomy places the organism in Eukaryota, Metazoa, Chordata, Aves, Piciformes, Lybiidae.
GCAAAAAGCAGGCAGCAUUCACAGGAAGGUCAUCUGCAUCUUUAUACUCCAUUGGGCCUUUGUGACUCAUCUCUUCUCCAUCUGACUUUGGGGCACAAUGACUCCAAGUCUGUAUUUCUUCCCUUCAUGCUUUCAGAUUUCUUGAUGAGUAGUAUGAGGUGCAAUAUGAAGAGAUAUACCAGAAAUGAUGUGGAGGUAGAGGAGUACCUUGGGAAAUUAAACCUGAUCUCAUCUCACUUAAGUCUACAGAACUGAUACAAAAACUUAAUUGACUGUGAGAUCAGAUACUAAAUCAAUAUUCAUCUUUUUGUACAUAGGAGCACUUUUUCUGCAGUUCAUGAAGUUUUACUGACCUAUCCUUCUUAAGCAAAAUAUGGUUAAUAAUAUUCAGACCUUCACAAAUAAUUAGAGUGAGAGCUGUUCAAAGUCAUGAAUGACAGAAGUACUUGCUGUUUAAGCUGGCACCAUCACCUUCCUUUAAAACACACCAGAGAAUCACAAACUACCAUUACAUUUUCGUUUUCAUGACGAGCAAAGAGUCCUUGUUAAGAGGAAUACAACCAUCAGGAAAGCAAACUGUAUUAUCUGAAGGACAGUCAUGGCUCAGAAGAGAGAAAACGAUGCUACAGUACAAUUCAGAAUAGAUUUUACUGCGACAGAGUGACCAGGAGUUGAAAAAGAUACCUUCUGGAACGGAGGAAGACCCUUGUCUCCUGCCUUUUAUUGCAUAACUCCCUACUGAAAAUUCAAA